AAUCUUAUUAGAGUGUUGGCAAAAGAGUGGGCCGGGUCCUGUAGAGCAGGGUGACGUCUGAAUUAUUGGAGUGUUUGCAAAAGAGUGGGUCGAGUCCUGUAGAGCAGGGUGAAAGCUACUUCUUAUUUUUAUUUUUAGGUUUUUUAUUUUUUUAUUAAAUCGGUGACAAAGUUAAAACUAAAAAUUACUAAAAUAAAUAUACGAGAAACCCAGGUGGACUAUUUGAACUUUUUUGUAUAUAAUUUAACGAAAUGUUAACGGAGGAGCUUACGAAAAGAAAAAAAUAAAAUCACAAGAUAAUAAAUUGAUACACUUUAAACCACAUAAUAUUAAAGUAAAAAAAUGUGAAACCAUAUAAAUGAUAUUUAAAGUUUACGCUUAUAAUUAAGAUGUAUACGCGAUGAAGUGUUCAAUGG
Molecule: long non-coding RNA, 416 nt
Filed under: Ananas comosus (pineapple)
Lineage: Eukaryota; Viridiplantae; Streptophyta; Magnoliopsida; Poales; Bromeliaceae
Description: long non-coding RNA (ACOM_LNC042813)
Source: RNAcentral